AGAGAUUAAAUGACUGAUUUAGAGGCUUUGUGCACAAAGCUUGCCGGUGACAGGGUGCAUAUAGCUACGAGGGAGAGAGCAUGCAUGCCGAAGAGGCAAACAUGACAUCACUCAUGAAUAUGGGUACAGGUGAUUGGCUACGGGUAUAUAGUCUCAGUUUAAUACAUAACUUGGACGGGAUGCAGUGAAGAGACGCUCUCUCAUGUUGACAACAUGAAUCGCAGGAGAACCUGAGAUUCUCAAUCCUUGAUUUUCUCUAUGUAUCUUGAAGCCUGUGUAAUCAAUCUAUUUCUUCUGCAUUAUUUUUGAGUGGAAUCCAUAUUCAUUUACAUAACAGACAACAACUACAUCUGACCGCACAGCAAAUCAAUUCUAUGGAACUAAAAGUUGUCUUCAAUUUAAAUUAGCUGAAUGUCUCAAACAUGUCUGACAACCUGCAGAAACCUACAAAACCCGAAGUGUAAUAUAUCAGUGCAACAGAAGAGAACUAAAACAAAGAACCUGAUAUGGGCGAAGGCAGAACUAAAACUGACCCAUUUAAAAUCGUCUACCCUAAAGAGUGAAAAUAAUGAAUCAAUCUCUAAAAUUGACACUGCACAUUCAAUUUUCAAAAAGAGGAUGAAGAAAUUCAAAGAAGAAAGAGUGCAUACGUACAUUAGAACUUAAUAAAGAUAAAAUAACUGGGUGCAGUCCAUAGACCAUCAUACAAAUUUGCUUCGAAAGUUCCUUUUCUUAGCAGUUUGUCUGACCGUGGCGCUGGUUGCCGCUAGCUGCCUCCAGCAUGCAUCUCCCCCGUGAACUCCUGAUUCUCAAAGAAAAAUUAUCCCUCACAUCUCUAUUACGGGAGUACUUAUAUAGAGAUACUGGUAGUAGUUGGGGCAUAUGUAAGCAGCAUACGUAAUCAUAUUAGGCAUCGAACUUGAACCCUAGAGGAUGCACAAUCGAGAGGCGAGAGAUUGCCAGACGCUGAUUGUCAAAAAAAAUAAUAGCCAUCACCUCUCUGUUAUGGGAAUACUCUUAUGUAGAUCCUGAUGGUAAUUGGCGGCACAUGCGCAAUCUUAUUGGGCAUCGAACUUGAACCCUAGGUGGUGCACCAUCGAGAGGAGAGAGAUCGCCAGCCGCUAAUACAUGUCAGAUGGUGAUGAGACGGAUGGAAUCAUUGACCGCGUUUGGGACUGCUGAGAAUCAAUCAUAUAUGACAUAUCUAAUGGUUUGCAUAUUCUUUUGAGGUAGAUCGGAUGUUCCCUGAUUCUAUAAGUAACCCUCCUCCAUGACCAAACGUG
This 1283-nucleotide long non-coding RNA is filed under the name Hordeum vulgare. Its description in RNAcentral is "long non-coding RNA (HVUL_LNC006497)". Lineage: Eukaryota; Viridiplantae; Streptophyta; Magnoliopsida; Poales; Poaceae. The record is from RNAcentral.